GCCCCCGUAGCUCAGGGGAAAGAGCACCCCUCCGGCGAAGGGGAGGCCGCGGGUUCGAAUCCCGCCGGGGGCA
This 73-nucleotide transfer RNA is filed under the name Candidatus Methanosuratincola sp. Its description in RNAcentral is "tRNA-Ala". It matches the Rfam family "tRNA". Rfam says of the family: Transfer RNA (tRNA) molecules are approximately 80 nucleotides in length. The record is from RNAcentral. Lineage: Archaea; Thermoproteati; Thermoproteota; Methanosuratincolia; Candidatus Methanomethylicales; Candidatus Methanomethylicaceae.